GUAACGGCGAGUGAAGCGGGAUGAGCUCAAAUUUAAAAUCUGGCUGGUUUACUAGUCCGAAUUGUAGUUUAAAGAAGCGUUUUCGGUGGCAGCCUGGGUAUAAAUCCUUUGGAACAGGGUAUCAUAGAGGGUGAGAAUCCCGUCUUUGACUCAGUGCAUGCUACUAUGUGAUACGUUUUCAAAGAGUCGAGUUGUUUGGGAAUGCAGCUCAAAAUGGGUGGUAAAUUUCAUCUAAGGCUAAAUAUUGGCGAGAGACCGAUAGCGAACAAGUACCGUGAGGGAAAGAUGAAAAGAACUUUGAAAAGAGAGUUAAACAGUGCGUGAAAUUGUUGAAAGGGAAACGCUUGACACCAGUCAUGCGAGCGGAAAAUCAGUCUUUUGCAGUGGGGAGUUGUGUGGGUUCGGACCGCAAGGCCGGCCUGCGCUGCAUCUCUGCUGUAAGUGAUGCACUUUUUCGUUUGCAGGCCAACAUCAGUUUCUUCUGCUGGACAAAACUCUUGAGAAGGUAGCAGCUUUGGCUGUGUUAUAGCUCUUGAGCGAUACAGUGGAGGGGACUGAGGUUUUCGCAGCGCGUGCUCUCGGGCAAGGCUGAUUGGGUGCUAUGGGAUCGUUCGGUGUACAAUGCAUGCAUUUUGCGCCGUGUCUUUUCUAUACUCGCUCAACUCGGCUCUUCCGCGCUU
RNAcentral lists this ribosomal RNA (680 nucleotides) under Mortierella alpina. Its description in RNAcentral is "LSU rRNA". It matches the Rfam family "Eukaryotic large subunit ribosomal RNA", at positions 83 to 608 of the family's 3401-position model. Lineage: Eukaryota; Fungi; Mortierellomycota; Mortierellomycetes; Mortierellales; Mortierellaceae. The record is from RNAcentral.